RNAcentral lists this ribosomal RNA (301 nucleotides) under uncultured bacterium. RNAcentral describes it as "partial 16S ribosomal RNA". It matches the Rfam family "Bacterial small subunit ribosomal RNA", at positions 509 to 807 of the family's 1533-position model. The record is from RNAcentral.
CAGCCGCCGCGGGAACACGGAGGGUGCAAGCGUUAUCCGGAUUUAUUGGGUUUAAAGGGUCCGUAGGCGGAUCUGUAAGUCAGUGGUGAAAUCUCACAGCUUAACUGUGAAACUGCCAUUGAUACUGCAGGUCUUGAGUAAAUUUGAAGUGGCUGGAAUAAGUAGUGUAGCGGUGAAAUGCAUAGAUAUUACUUAGAACACCAAUUGCGAAGGCAGGUCACUAAGAUUUAACUGACGCUGAUGGACGAAAGCGUGGGGAGCGAACAGGAUUAGAUACCCCAGUAGUCCCUGUCUCUUAUAC